CGAAGCUCUUCCGAUGUCUGGGGAAUAAGUUGGGUGGGGAAGAACUUCGUAGCCAAGUUCCCUCAACUUCUAGAGCAUCAUUAGGGAAACGUGUGGUUGAGCAUUGUCAUGAAGAAUGAUUGGCCCUCUUCUGUUGACCAGUCUGGGACGGAGUAGCAGUUUUUCGUCCAUUUUGGUAAUUUCAUGGCAAUAUGUUUCUGCGGUUUUUCCGGGUUUUAAGAAGUUAUGGUGGAUGAGUCCAGCAAUACACAACCAAACAGUCACCAUAACCUUCUUUUUGAAGAUCUCGGCUUUAGGAAAGGUUUUCGGUGCUUCAUUUUGGUC
Molecule: long non-coding RNA, 324 nt
Organism: Octopus sinensis (East Asian common octopus)
Lineage: Eukaryota; Metazoa; Mollusca; Cephalopoda; Octopoda; Octopodidae
Exons: 3
Source: RefSeq, a predicted model, not a curated record